UACGGGGGGGGCAAGCGUUGUUCGGAAUUACUGGGCGUAAAGGGUUCGUAGGUGGCCAACUAAGUCAGACGUGAAAUCCCUCAGCUUAACUGGGGAACUGCGUCUGAUACUGGUUGGCUUGAGUGCAGGAGAGGAAUGCGGAAUUCCAGGUGUAGCGGUGAAAUGCGUAGAUAUCAGGAGGAACACCUGUGGUGUAGACAGCUUACUGGACCACGACUGACGCUGAGACACGAAAGCGUGGGUAGCAAACAGG
Molecule: ribosomal RNA, 253 nt
Filed under: uncultured bacterium
Lineage: Bacteria
Description: partial 16S ribosomal RNA
Rfam family: Bacterial small subunit ribosomal RNA
Source: RNAcentral